Molecule: long non-coding RNA, 1514 nt
Organism: Ailuropoda melanoleuca (giant panda)
Lineage: Eukaryota; Metazoa; Chordata; Mammalia; Carnivora; Ursidae
Exons: 4
Source: RefSeq, a predicted model, not a curated record
ACCAGCUUAUCCUCUAAAUCUUUAACCAAGCCCUGAUGCAUAUGCAUUCACUGGUGUAAAUGACUUCAAGCAAUUUCAGAGAUUGCUCGUUGGAGCUGUACCUACAUUGAAAGGACCCAAGAACUGUAAUGGGCAAAAGCAAGCGAUAUGAGAGGCACGGUCUCCACUGAAGACUGACUGUAAAGGAAAUCCAAGAAUGCGGAAGGGGACUCCAGGGAACAGAACACUUGUCUUCGCUUGGCCCACGUGUUUGCUCCGUUCUGCCUUUCUGGAAAUGGAUGGACAUGUAGAAACUUCCAUCACCCCCAUUCCCGUGAAAGUGCACGGGAUUAUGGGAUGCGUGUGGUGGAACCCAUGAAGCAGUGCACUCAUGCUGCUGCAGUGUGAUGGAUUUCUCCCACCACCUGAGGGCGGUGUGUCGUGUGCCCUGCCCAAGUUGUACCAGAUCGUCUCAGGGGACUCGAAGAUGAGCAGAGACUUCAGAGGAGCCAAAGCGGUAGAGUCAGAUGGUCCCCCGUUCGAGUCUAUUUUUUAAAUGUCUUAUUCUGGAUGGUCCUCACUGAACUUUUGGGUUCUGGGAAGCAGCUGGAUGGUUUGCAUAACUGCCUUUGCACUUUUCUGGCACAGAUGUCAAAUGUUCUUAAAUCUGACACAGACAAGUUAGUGGUUAUCGAUUGGACUCUCGACACAGCAAACUCUUCAGGUUUUCCUUCUAUCAUAUUUUACGACAUCCCACAGUGAUGUUGGUGACCUUCGAAGCUUUCUUUGUGAUGUUACCGAUGGUGUAAUUAAAUGGUCUCUGAACGUGGGUGAGAAGUCCAGUUUGGAUGAAGCUCCUGCUACUUAGCUCUUAACCGCCUCGGUCUGCGGUUCCAAAUCGGUGCCCUUCUCAGACCAUCAGCCAUCAUGUUGGGAACGGAUGCAGGUUUGCAAAGCUAACGGGAGGACGGGUCAGAGCCUGCAUUACAGGAAACUGCCGGCAUGCGUCUUCUCAUAUGUUUCUCCCAUUUCCAGGAAAGCAGUAUUCGGAUUUUUAAUAGUUCCACGUUCAGAAGUCAGUCCAACUGGAACAAGGAACACACAUUCCAAAGGCUUGCAACUUCUAAAAGGCAUUUGUGUUUUUGCUCUACAUGGCAGAAUGGCUCAGAGAGGGACCAAAAGAGUUCACGAGGAAGCCACAGUUUGAAAGAGGGUAUAUUGUUGUCCCAUUGAUUAAACGGAUGGGUCAUAUACUGCCGGAAUCCAGGCCACAUUUAAGAGAGGGUUUGGUUAGUCAAUGCGUAGACGACCCACCACUUGCAAUGGUGUCAAAGACUUUCAUUAAUGAGGCAUGGCAGCGUAGGGGAGAAACAACUGUAGCCUGAGAUUUAGGAGAUACAGGUUGUAGUCUUGCAUAACUCCUGGUGUAACCCCAGCAAAGCCCGUCUCCUCUCUGGGACUCAACUUUAUCGUAUGUAAAUUGAGAACACGGGUCCCGAGAUCCCCUUCUGUUGUAACAAGUGUCUUAUUCCAUG